UACGAAGGGGACUAGCGUUGUUCGGAAUGACUGGGCGUAAAGGGCGCGUAGGCUGAUUUAUAAGUGAGUUGUAAAAUACCUGGGCUCAACCUAGGGUUGGCAAUUCAUACUGUUUAUCUAGAGUUUGGAAGGGGAGAAUGGAAUUGCGUAUGGAGAGGUGAAAUUCGUAGAUAUACGCAGGAACACCGGCGGUGAAGACGAUUCUCUGGUACAUAACUGACGCUGAGGCGCGAGAGCGUGGGGAGCAAACAGG
Molecule: ribosomal RNA, 253 nt
Filed under: uncultured bacterium
Lineage: Bacteria
Description: partial 16S ribosomal RNA
Rfam family: Bacterial small subunit ribosomal RNA
Source: RNAcentral